UACGAAGGGGGCUAGCGUUGUUCGGAAUUACUGGGCGUAAAGCGUAUGCAGGCGGACUUCUAAGUCGGGGGUGAAAUCCCGAGGCUCAACCUCGGAACUGCCUUCGAUACUGGAAGUCUUGAGUCCGGGAGAGGUGAGUGGAACUCCGAGUGUAGAGGUGAAAUUCGUAGAUAUUCGGAAGAACACCAGUGGCGAAGGCGGCUCACUGGCCCGGUACUGACGCUGAGAUACGAAAGCGUGGGGAGCAAAC
Molecule: ribosomal RNA, 250 nt
Filed under: uncultured bacterium
Lineage: Bacteria
Description: partial 16S ribosomal RNA
Rfam family: Bacterial small subunit ribosomal RNA
Source: RNAcentral